AAACCAGCACCUCAAGUGGUCAGGAUGAUUAUUGGGCCUAAAGCAUCCGUAGCCUGUUCUGUAAGUUUUCGGUUAAAUCCAUUAGCUCAACUAAUGGGCUGCCGAAAAUACUGUAGAACUAGGGAGUGGGAGAGGUAGACGGUAUUCGGUAGGAAGGGGUAAAAUCCUUUGAUCUAUUGAGGACCACCUGUGGCGAAGGCGGUCUACCAGAACACGUUCGACGGUGAGGGAUGAAAGCUGGGGGAGCAAACCGGAUUAGAAACCCGGGUAGUCC
RNAcentral lists this ribosomal RNA (274 nucleotides) under uncultured bacterium. RNAcentral's name for it is "partial 16S ribosomal RNA". It matches the Rfam family "Archaeal small subunit ribosomal RNA", at positions 473 to 747 of the family's 1478-position model. The record is from RNAcentral.